This 460-nucleotide ribosomal RNA is filed under the name uncultured bacterium. RNAcentral's name for it is "partial 16S ribosomal RNA". It matches the Rfam family "Bacterial small subunit ribosomal RNA", at positions 338 to 795 of the family's 1533-position model. The record is from RNAcentral.
CCUACGGGGGACUGCAGUGAGGAAUAUUGGUCAAUGGACGAGAGUCUGAACCAGCCAAGUAGCGUGAAGGAUGACUGCCCUAUGGGUUGUAAACUUCUUUUAUAUGGGAAUAAAAUGUUCCACGUGUGGGCUUUUGUAUGUACCAUAUGAAUAAGGAUCGGCUAACGCCGUGCCAGCAGCCGCGGUAAUACGGAGGAUCCGAGCGUUAUCCGGAUUUAUUGGGUUUAAAGGGAGCGUAGGUGGAUUGUUAAGUCAGGUGUGAAAGUUUGCGGCUCAACCGUAAAAUUGCAGUUGAAACUGGCAGUCUUGAGUACAGUAGAGGUGGGCGGAAUUCGUGGUGUAGCGGUGAAAUGCUUAGAUAUCACGAAGAACUCCGAUUGCGAAGGCAGCUCACUGGACUGCAACUGACGCUGAGGCUCGAAAGUGUGGGUAUCAAACAGGAUUAGAUACCCCUGUAGUC